RNAcentral lists this transfer RNA (96 nucleotides) under Streptomyces sp. F-1. RNAcentral's name for it is "tRNA-Cys". The record is from RNAcentral. Lineage: Bacteria; Bacillati; Actinomycetota; Actinomycetes; Kitasatosporales; Streptomycetaceae.
CACCGGCUGGGCGGUGUUCUUACGCCUGGCCGGCGGCAAUUCGGCGGCGCGGGAGCUGCCCGUGAGCAUGGCGUUCCUGUCGCUGGCCGCCGACCA